This 716-nucleotide ribosomal RNA is filed under the name Calcarius lapponicus (Lapland longspur). Its description in RNAcentral is "partial 16S ribosomal RNA". The stretch from base 218 to 716 matches the Rfam family "Bacterial large subunit ribosomal RNA", at positions 569 to 1318 of the family's 2925-position model. The record is from RNAcentral. Lineage: Eukaryota; Metazoa; Chordata; Aves; Passeriformes; Fringillidae.
UUCAGCUUACACCUGAAAGAUGUCUGCUAAACCAGAUCGUCUUGAUGCCAAACUCUAGCCCAAAAUACAUGACACGGAAUAACAAAGCCACUACCCACAAACCCAACUAAAGCAUUUAAUAGUCCCAGUAUAGGCGAUAGAAAAGACACCAUUGGCGCGAUAGAGACUACGUACCGUAAGGGAAAGAUGAAAUAGCAAUGAAAACUAAGCUAUAAACAGCAAAGAUCAACCCUUGUACCUUUUGCAUCAUGGUCUAGCAAGAAAAACCAAGCAAAAUGAAUUUAAGUUUGCCACCCCGAAACCCAAGCGAGCUACUUACGAGCAGCUAUUAUUGAGCGAACCCGUCUCUGUGGCAAAAGAGUGGGAUGACUUGUUAGUAGAGGUGAAAAGCCAACCGAGCUGGGUGAUAGCUGGUUGCCUGUGAAACGAAUCUAAGUUCACUCUUAAUUCUUCUCCAAGGAAACCCCUCAAACCCUAAUGAAGCGAAUUAAGGGCUAUUUAAAGGAGGUACAGCUCCUUUAAAAAAGAAUACAAUCUCCACGAGCGGAUAAGUAUCAAAUUCCUUAACUGUACUGUGGGCCCUCAAGCAGCCAUCAACAAAGAGUGCGUUAAAGCUCCGCAUCCAAAAAUACAAAAACCUUAUGACUCCCUCCCCAUUAACAGGCCAACCUAUAUUUAAAUAGGAGAAUUAAUGCUAGAAUGAGUAACCAGGGUUA